ACGACCUUACUUGAACAGGAUCUGUUCUAUAGGCUCGUAUCACUGUAUCCUUGAGUUCUAAGGAGACAGGAAUCCAAGUCUGGUGGAUGAAUUCUAACCAUUAGACCAGAGCGUGAUUAAUAGCCCCAGUGGCCUUCGGGUCAUGGUGCCGUAGAGGAUUGUUCUCAGCUCCAACCAUAGGUGCUGGGGUGGUCUGUUGGCUGUCUGACAGACU
Molecule: small nucleolar RNA, 214 nt
Organism: Lycium ferocissimum
Lineage: Eukaryota; Viridiplantae; Streptophyta; Magnoliopsida; Solanales; Solanaceae
Product: small nucleolar RNA U3
Exons: 1
Source: RefSeq, a predicted model, not a curated record